Molecule: long non-coding RNA, 260 nt
Organism: Eurytemora carolleeae
Lineage: Eukaryota; Metazoa; Arthropoda; Copepoda; Calanoida; Temoridae
Exons: 3
Source: RefSeq, a predicted model, not a curated record
AGAUACACAAAAUGGUUAUUUUACGAGACAGAAUUAAGAUGAAGGUCUUCGGAGGAACACUUGUCAUUGUAGGACUAGUGCUUUAUACUAAUUUAGCAUUAAAAAUUUUUUGUGAAUCAGAGCCACCUACAAGUUCAGUGCUGCCCUCUUUAAAUCAUAUUCCACCACACAAGAAAUCAGUGCUGCCCCCUAUAAAUGCAAAACUGUCGCUGAAAGAUGAAAAUGGUGUUAGUGAGCUGUCUACAAGUAAUAUCGAAAUC